Molecule: small RNA, 378 nt
Filed under: Pongo abelii (Sumatran orangutan)
Lineage: Eukaryota; Metazoa; Chordata; Mammalia; Primates; Hominidae
Description: sense intronic
Source: RNAcentral
GCAUGCCUGUAGUCCCAGCUACUUGGGAGGCUGAGGCAGGAGAAUCCCUUGAACCUGGGAGGCGGAGGUUGCAGUGAGCUGAGAUCAUGCCACUGCACUACAGCCUGGACGACAGAGUGAAACUCUGUCUCGGAAAAAAAAAAAAAAAAAAAAAAAAAGUAAAGAAAAAGAAAUGGCUUUAAAAAUUAUUCCGGUUUUUAGUUAUUCUGUUGAAUUAUUCAUUACUAAAGUUAUGUUCCAUUUGAAGAUGCAAUUUGAAUUUCUUAUGUGACAUCUGUUGGGCAUAGUCUGCAAUAGCAGAUGAAGCAAAUAGGAAAGUAAUUUAUUCAUCUUUUAAAAUCUUUCAAUUGAGACUAAUAAAAAUGUAUGAAUACAUUG